Molecule: long non-coding RNA, 648 nt
Organism: Tachysurus vachellii
Lineage: Eukaryota; Metazoa; Chordata; Actinopteri; Siluriformes; Bagridae
Exons: 2
Source: RefSeq, a predicted model, not a curated record
GCGUACGUAGUGUACGUAUUACGUCCCUGUGUCUUCCUCUGUAACAUCUAUCUCCUCUUCGUUUCUCUUUCCAUUUGCCUCCUAGAAAGGAAACAAAGAUGUCACUGAGUUCAGCAAAGAUGACAAAUCCUGCAACAAGAACCACAACUACACCAAUAGCAAACAUCACCAAGUGUAUAAACCUUUGAAAUGAUCCAAAACCUGUGGAAACAUCACAAAUACUUUUCAUCAACUGUAUCAGUAAAUAACCUUCACCCUGUGUACAAUGUAAAGUCUGAUAGGAAACAUUUUUUACCACACAAUAUGAUUUCAGGCCAGAUUAUGUCCAUGGGCAGCACUAACUCCUCCUCCAAGCUGCUGUGCUGAAUCACACAGGUGUAGUUGUGUUCCUCCAGCUCCUCAUCAGGGACUUUCAGAAUGCUUCUCUUCUGGAAGCUUCCAUCCUGGUUGGGUAACGUCUCUCUGAGCUCCACGUCCUCAUGCACAUCCUCUCCGUCCUUCCUCCAGGAGAUCGUCACUGCUUUAGGGAAAAAACCUGUAGCGUGACACACCACCUCUGAUGAAAAAUAGUACUAAUGGAACACUGAUGCCUCAGGACGAACUGCAGAGAGACACAAAGGCAGAAAUAUUAAAACUCUGUCAGAUUUA